UUUCCGUAGGUGAACCUGCGGAAGGAUCAUUAAUGAGUUGUCAUGGGGCUCGAUGCUGGCAGCCAGUUUUUGGACGCAUGUGCUUGCCCUAACAAUCAUCUUCUUCCAAACACCUGUGCACAUUUUUGAGGGAGUCUUGAGUUGGUUGCCGCUCUUGGGUGAUUUUCUCACAUUCCCUUAAAUCAUUAUACGCUAUUAACAAUGUUGAACGUGCUCUGUGCCGCAAGGCUAUUAAUAUAAUACAACUUUUAACAACGGAUCUCUUGGCUCUC
Molecule: unclassified non-coding RNA, 272 nt
Filed under: plant metagenome
Description: partial contains small subunit ribosomal RNA, internal transcribed spacer 1, and 5.8S ribosomal RNA
Source: RNAcentral